This 2254-nucleotide long non-coding RNA is filed under the name Homo sapiens (human). RNAcentral describes it as "long intergenic non-protein coding RNA 2615". Lineage: Eukaryota; Metazoa; Chordata; Mammalia; Primates; Hominidae. The record is from RNAcentral.
GAUAUGGGUUGGUCCGUUUAGGGCUGACCCUGGAAAAAAAAAGUUAUAUCAGUCUUGACAUUAAUUCCGUAGUCAGAGUAGGUGAGAGAGGAGUAGAUUAGUAUAUAGGGUUCCCAGCCUUCCCAGUACAACCAUGGACUCAGAGUUGGGGACACUAAAAAUGUACAUGAAGUUUAUGAUUUCACUGGUAGAGAUGGCCCACAAUGCCAGUUUGGACAGGCAUUACUCUAAACGUGGUGGGGAAGUCAGGAGACAUCUACUCCAAGGCAUAACCUCUAGGACAGUUUGUGGGGUAUCAGGGAAGGAUAUAUCAUUGGAAAGAUUUCUAGUUGCCAUACACAAAUAAUUGGGCUUCAGUUUAAUGCAUAAUUAACUGUUCUCAGUGUGUUAUUAGUUGGACAAUUGGAUUAUUACAUUAUUUACAUUAGUGUUUAUAGGUAAUCUGAAAACAAAAAUGUGAAUAUAAUAUGAACUACCUCAAAGAUUUGUCUCUGCUUAAUAGUUUUAUUUCAAAUUUGUAUAUCAAAUGUUUCAUUACCCUUUUUUCAUUUUAUUUUUUAGCUUUCAAAACAAAUUAGCAAGAGGAGGAAAGAGGAGAGGGAGAAACUGUGCACACCACCAGAAUGUUAUAGUAGGCGAUAUCAUGAAAGCAAUGUUGGAACUUUAUACUCAGGUUUUGAUUGUGCAUCUAUCUCUUUGUUGUCUUAUCCUUUAUCUUCAUUUUUACCAAGUAAUUAUUGACCAUCAAAUGCCAUUAUGGUACCAACUUAAGAAAUGGAUGUAAAGAAUUCUACAGGGAAAAAAAGCACAUUGUCAGUGUAUGAAAUUUAUUUAGAAGACAGUUACAGACACAUAUAAAAAUGAUAGCAGCUUAUGUUUGCGAAGCACUCACUAUAUGCCAAGCACUUUCUGUUAGCUAAUAAUAAUAUUUGCUCAUUUAAUAUUAGCUCACAUAAUAAUAUUAAUAUUAUUAGCUCAUUUAAUCCUCUCAACAACUGUCUAGGGUAGGUACUAUUAUCCCUAUUUUAUGGACAAGGAAAUUAAGUCAACAAGAGAUGAAAUAAUUUGUUUACAGUCACAUAGCUAGGAAGUGGUAGAGUCAUAAGUUGAACCCAGGCAGUCUGAAUCCAGAAUAAUAAUAAUAAAAAAAGGUAUAACCAGGGUGGAAACUUAUUUUGCUCUUUUCAGGUUUCCUAGACUUUCCAUCACCACCAGUGAAUUCUGAGUGACAAUAGUGUGGAAUUUGGAAGAAUGGAAGAGAAACUGAAGUGGAGAGAUGGUGAAAGAGAAGAAAAAAUGAAGAAAGAUGCUUGCAAAAAUACUGCUGUGGGUCCUGAGAUGAGGAUUCUGGGAGGGCUGAAAUGGAUGCCCCUGACAGCUCCCUUUGAGUUCCUGUUCAUCUGAAGUACACCAGCUUUCUAGAUAUGCUGUCACUUUCCUUCUGCAGAGCCACAGUGGUGUCCUGUCUUCUCAGACCUCUUCUCACCUCAAAUCACUUAGGACUCGGCCACCAGACAGAUUUGGGAUUUCAGAACUUUUCAGAUGUUAGAAAGGCUGACCUGUGACUGCUUCGGCCAACUGAAUAGGGAAGAGUGAUGCUGUGCUGUUUCCAGGCCUGUUCUUUAAAAGUACUUGGAAGCUUCUGCCUUGGCCUCUUUGUGCCUGAGUUGCUGUAUAAGAAUCUGACUACCUUGCUGGAGAGACCUUGUGGAGAAGACUUGACCUUAUAUGCAGAGGUAGAGGGGCCCUGGUUAGUCCAGCCAUCUAGCCAUCCUGUCAAAAUAGCAGAUCCAUUUCCUGCCCUUCUUUUAUUCUACUCUGUAUUACAGCCAACCACAUUUCCAGGCUCCCUUGUCCUCUGCUAUCUAGGAGUAUGAUGGCCAAUGGAUCCAAAACCUAUCCUAUAUCUACAUGUUGGUGGCCACAUUAAUCUGACAUCUGACAGCAAGAGCGAUGAUUGGGUUCACUGGAAAUCUUUGUGAAGUACGAGUGAAGUCCUUGUGAAGUCAGAGUUUCCUCUUCAUGCCUCUACUCCUAUGCAGUUUGACCUCUCAGUGUGCAGCUGGUGAUAGAUGGAAACCCUUGUUCAUAAGCUUUGUGGCACUGUCGGCAGGAUGAGGGGACUUCUGGAUCCUCACUGGUCACUGUGGCAGAGUGGUUGGUGUUGUCUGCUCCCUAGACAGGAACCCACUGAAGAAUCUGACAUUUUUUGAUAUGCUGGCAUUCAUUGUUACAGCCCAUCAUCCCAGCCAUC